UAUUAAUAAAAUCUGCUCAAUGAAUUUUAAAUAGCCGCAGAAUUCUGUGYUAAGGUAGCAUAAUCAUUUGUCUUUUAAUUAAAGUCUAGAAUGAAAGAUCACACAUUUAAUUCAUUUUUUAAAUUUUAAUUAAUCAAAUUCUUMUAAAUGUAAAAAGAUAUUUUCUUAAAAAAAAGACGAUAAGACCCUAUCGAAUUUUACUUAAGUUUUACUGGGGCAGUAAAUUAAAAAUUAUUUUAAUUUUAAAUCUUUAAAACUMUAAUAAAAUUAAUUUAAACAAGUUACCGUAGGGAUAACAGCGUAAUAAUUUUUUAUAGAUCUUAUAUAUWAAAYUGAUUACGACCUCGAUGUUGAAUUAAUAUUC
This 364-nucleotide ribosomal RNA is filed under the name Neostasina sp. Colombia_00006432A. Its description in RNAcentral is "partial 16S ribosomal RNA". The record is from RNAcentral. Lineage: Eukaryota; Metazoa; Arthropoda; Arachnida; Araneae; Sparassidae.